RNAcentral lists this small nuclear RNA (115 nucleotides) under Tupaia belangeri (northern tree shrew). RNAcentral describes it as "U4 spliceosomal RNA (ENSTBEG00000020144.1)". The stretch from base 1 to 77 matches the Rfam family "U4 spliceosomal RNA". From Rfam's summary of the family: U4 small nuclear RNA (U4 snRNA) is a component of the major U2-dependent spliceosome. Lineage: Eukaryota; Metazoa; Chordata; Mammalia; Scandentia; Tupaiidae. The record is from RNAcentral.
GGCUUUGCUCAGUGGCAGUAUCGUAGCCAAUGAGGUUUAUCUGAGGCGCGAUUAUUGCUAAUUGAAAACCCAUGCUGGGUUGGGAACCAGCAGUUAGCGUAAUGGCUAUGUCGCU